UCCGACUGCGAGCGGAUGAAGUACGCAAAAAUGGCGAAGAAGGGCAAGAGGAGGGGCCGCUGAAGAAGCUCUUCAGGGUAUCCGGAGAACCUGGACCGACAAAAUUCCUUCCCCAUAUUGCUCGGCAUUUUCAGGUUACCACUUCCUGUCACUCCCUGAAGACCCCCCACGUGUCGUGGACCCGGGACCCCCUCGUCGGAAUUCUCUCAGACUUUGUCGUUGGUGAUUUUUUACAUGUCUGGAAUCCACUCGUCCUCAGCAAAGUCUUCUAGUUUGUAACCCCUGUACGUUUAAUAUGAACACUGUACUCGCACUUGAAGCACCGAA
Long non-coding RNA from Orussus abietinus, 327 nucleotides. RefSeq lists it as uncharacterized. NCBI's taxonomy places the organism in Eukaryota, Metazoa, Arthropoda, Insecta, Hymenoptera, Orussidae. The transcript has 2 exons. The record is from RefSeq and is a predicted model, not a curated record.